CUUGGUCAUUUAGAGGAAGUAAAAGUCGUAACAAGGUCUCCGUUGGUGAACCAGCGGAGGGAUCAUUAAAGAGUUUUUCAACUCCCAAACCCAUGUGAACAUACCUUACGUUGCCUCGGCAGGUCGCGCCUACCCCGUAGCGCCCUACCCCGUAGGACCUACCCGGUAGACGCGGGUAAGCCUGCCGGCGGCCCACGAAACUCUGUUUACCACUGUAUCUCUGAACACAUAACUAAAUACGUUAAAACUUUCAACAACGGAUCUCUUGGUUCUGGCAUCGAUGAAGAACGCAGCGAAAUGCGAUAAGUAAUGUGAAUUGCAGAAUUCAGUGAAUCAUCGAAUCUUUGAACGCACAUUGCGCCCAUUAGUAUUCUAGUGGGCAUGCCUGUUCGAGCGUCAUUUCAACCCUUAAGCCCUGUUGCUUAGCGUUGGGAGCCUACCGUGGUAGCUCCUCAAAGUGAGUGGCGGAGUCGGUUCACACUCUAGACGUAGUAGAUUUUAUCUCGCCUGUGAGUUGGACCGGUCCCCUGCCGUAAAACCCCCUAUUUUCUAAAGGUUGACCUCGGAUCAGGUAGGAAUACCCGCUGAACUUAAGCAUAUCAAUAAGCGGAGGA
RNAcentral lists this ribosomal RNA (614 nucleotides) under Xylaria sp. 1 RV-2018. RNAcentral describes it as "eukaryotic LSU rRNA". The stretch from base 246 to 399 matches the Rfam family "5.8S ribosomal RNA". Lineage: Eukaryota; Fungi; Ascomycota; Sordariomycetes; Xylariales; Xylariaceae. The record is from RNAcentral.